UGGGCGUAAAGAGCUCGUAGGUGGUUUGUCGCGUUGUUCGUGAAAUCUCACGGCUUAACUGUGAGCGUGCGGGCGAUACGGGCAGACUUGAGUACUGCAGGGGAGACUGGAAUUCCUGGUGUAGCGGUGGAAUGCGCAGAUAUCAGGAGGAACACCGGUGGCGAAGGCGGGUCUCUGGGCAGUAACUGACGCUGAGGAGCGAAAGCGUGGGGAGCGAACAGGAUUAGAUACCCUGGUAGUCCACGCCGUAAACGGUGGGUACUAGGUGUGGGUUUCCUUCCUUGGGAUCCGUGCCGUAGCUAACGCAUUAAGUACCCCGCCUGGGGAGUACGGCCGCAAGGCUAAAACUCAAAGAAAUUGACGGGGGCCCGCACAAGCGGCGGAGCAUGUGGAUUAAUUCGAUGCAACGCGAAGAACCUUACCUGGGUUUGACAUGCACAGGACGCCGGCAGAGAUGUCGGUUCCCUUGUGGCCUGUGUGCAGGUGGUGCAUGGCUGUCGUCAGCUCGUGUCGUGAGAUGUUGGGUUAAGUCCCGCAACGAGCGCAACCCUUGUCUCAUGUUGCCAGCGGGUAAUGCCGGGGACUCGUGAGAGACUGCCGGGGUCAACUCGGAGGAAGGUGGGGAUGACGUCAAGUCAUCAUGCCCCUUAUGUCCAGGGCUUCACACAUGCUACAAUGGCCGGUACAAAGGGCUGCGAUGCCGCGAGGUUAAGCGAAUCCUUUUAAAGCCGGUCUCAGUUCGGAUCGGGGUCUGCAACUCGACCCCGUGAAGUCGGAGUCGCU
This 783-nucleotide ribosomal RNA is filed under the name uncultured bacterium. RNAcentral's name for it is "bacterial SSU rRNA". It matches the Rfam family "Bacterial small subunit ribosomal RNA", at positions 555 to 1336 of the family's 1533-position model. The record is from RNAcentral.